CCAAAGUCAGCUGAGUCGAAGCAGCACUUGCGAAUCACAAGUCACCGGCCGUCAGCAUUUUUUGGGAUUUUGUAUGUUCACUGCAUCUCUUUCUGGUAGAUGCUCACGCAGUCUUGCUUGACGAAAUUCAUCAUUUUGAUAAUUUGGCAGUUAAUUGACGAGAUGGUUCUUUUCUUAUCCUUAUAGUAUAUGUUUCUGAUGAAUUUCUUGACUAACUCAUUGGGGACAAUAUGUAGAUAUUCCUUCUUUCCUAAAUACAUAUGCUGAAAGGAAAAUGAUUUUACUCCCUCCAUCCGUGAAAGACUACACGUUUAGGCUUCACUUUUCCCCUAAAAGAUUGUACGUCUGCGUUUUCUGGGAUAAUUUUACAUUUUUCCCCUUGGUCUACACCUCGAGGUAACGCGGUGAUAACAACUCAGUCCAUUAAUUUGGUUCAGGCUGCAAGCGAACCCCCAAUCAUCUUGCAUUUUGCUUGUAUUACUAAUUGCUUUGGCCCACAGAAUAAAUGUGGUGGUGUGAAUCCAAGAGUUCUCCUAGCUAGUGGAGUAGCGUAGAUAGGGAAAUAGGUGUUUCUUUGCAAAAUGGUUAAUCUGUCUUAGAAAAUACAGAAGUGCAGUCUUUUGCGGAAGGAGGGAGUAUAUGAGAUAUUGACAGUAGAGAUAUUAAAUACGUAGAAUAAACAUCAGAUGGACCAUACAUAUUUCUUGUAGAGAUUGCCUUCUGGCACAUCGCCAAUGAAUAGCAACGACCAAUCUGAUGGAAUUCAAAACAUGACCUGAAAUAGACAAAAAAAACCAGUCUGAUUAAAUUUUCUUUAGGUUAGAUGUUGAAUUGCGAGAUGAUGUUGUUGAUGUUGUUUAUUAGAUUGUUGUGUGAGUGCUUAUGUUGGUUGUGCCGGUGCUUUUUAUGUGGAGGGAUCUUCUCUUCAUUUUGAGGAGCACCGUCGGUCCAGUUGUCGUUGCCCUCGUCAUUCAACUACUACCUCUACUGUCUAGGGGUGAGCUCGACUAUCAUCUCCUCCCCCUUCCCUAUUUGCUCUGUUCCGGUCGUUGUGCUGAUGCAUCUAAAUUUCUCUUUCAUGUCAAGUCUCGUAACCUAGGCAUCUCCCGUUCGAAGGGGCGGAUUGUGGUGUACUGGUGUUCUAAAGAGUAUAUGUUGAAACACAUAGAUUACAAAAAUCGGCGGAAGGCAAUGAAUUAUCCACCACACCAUCAAGGAAACUUGAGCCUUAAGGGAUUCACGAUACAUUGGGUAUAUCUUUCCUCCAAUCGAUUUGUUCUACAUAAGUUCUUUCUUGUCAUACAUGUUGCCAAUUAAUCCUUGUGAUGAAUUCCUAAUCAUGUUGGUUUGGUUGCAGGCGGCUCACCAGAAGGCUCUGGAGCCCAACCUUUUAUUUAGGUAUGCUUUGUCCCAUAAGGCACCGUUCAGAAAAGCCACGCCUUACAAUCCGGCUAACACAUCGUCUGCAUACACCAGCCAGACCGCCUACAAUCGGCUAACCUAAGUUAGAGACGUGGCAACAAAGUUGAGAGGACCCGACUAUGAUGUGGCAUCGGAGCCCCUUGACCACGAGUUGGUUAUGAUCGCUGGAGAGGGGAAGAAACAUGGAAAGGAAGCUAUUGCAGGAGACAUGUUUCCUAGGUCCUCCACUCGCACUCUAGCUGAGCACAAGGCUCGGCUAGGUCUCCCAAAAUCUUUUGUAUGUGAACGUGCCACUCCGGUAAGGGCUGAGAUGGAGGUCUUUUAUACAAGUCCUUCUACAUAUGCUUUUUGUAAUUCUUACAUAAUGUUGGAUUUGAAGAUGCGAUUGUGAUGUCAUAUUUGUAGUGCCUACUCGUGGAGAAGUUCAUAGUGGAGAGGCGACUGGCGGCUGCGGAGAGGGCGGCGGAGAGGGCAGAGGAGAGGCGACUGGCGACUGAGGACUGGGCGGCAGAGAGGACGGAGGAGAGGCGACUGGCUGAUGAGAGGACGCAGCAGGUGUUGUGGGCACAAAAUACUCAAAACUUUCAAAUGUUUAUGGUUAUUUCCUUAAUAUCCUAGCACAAUUCCUUAAUAGCCAACGCAUGUACUCUUUUACUAUCGGUGCUUAACCUUCACCACUCUUAACAUAAUUUGCAGGCUUAUUGUAUCCAGAAUGGUAUGCCUGCUUUCGGUUUUUCUGUCCUUACUCCGCAUCCUAUAGUUAGUUAACUGAAUUAUUUGCAAGGAUCAUUAUUGCAUUUCUUAGUCCGAGUGUCAUUCUAACCAUGUAAAUACUUCAUCCAGCAUCCAUCGACCCACGGAUCGAAUAAUGUUGGAUCUAAACAUGCUCAUGGUCCUGGCUUUGUUGGCAAUAACCUUAAUGGUUCUCCGCAUCUUUGAGAUCUGCUAUGGUUAGUGCCUCCAUAUCUCAUUUACAAGUAGAGACCACUUGAGAUCUUCAUAAUUUAGAGACCACUUGAAGUUAUAUAUUUACAUAGAACUAGAUGAGUCACCUGCACGUUUACGCGGCCUAACUGUCAACAUAUAUCUACACAUGCAAUUUAUAUUUUAAUAGGUCCUUCGGAUAAAUAGUUGGAUCACGAUUUUCAUGUGAAUAUGCUUUACGAAAUGUUAGUUCUGAAGUAAGUCAUUGUAUAUGUUGAUACUAUUUCAACUUAAGAAUCCAAAAAUUAUAAAUUCAUUCACACUAAUUUCUAAAAUACGACACAUUUUUGUCAGUCUGUUUUUUCUUAUACAUCAUCGGUUGGCAAUGGCACCUAAGGAGGAUAGUGGCGAAAGGUUUUAAACACUCACAUAAUAUUUACUAAUGUGACUUUUAUAUAGUAAUCGAUGGAGUAUUUUUCUUCUUCAUUCACAUUUUAGACGCUUUCACAAAAUAUUUAUAUCCUGAUUAUUUUAUUUAUGCAAUUUAAACUAGCUAUAAAUCAAGUUCAUCGACCAUACAUGAUUGGGAUGUUCAUAGGUAUUGUAGAGCUUGUAAUCUUUCCCUGAUCGUUGUAUGUGUCGCACUCUCAACUCUAUGGUUCUGUUCUAUAAAUAAAUUUUGAAUAGAUUUCUCUCCCUUUGCCCCCAUUCAACAUAAAAAAUACUUCAAAUUGAGCUCGUUGAUCUUACAUGAUUGCAAUAUUAAUAAGUUCUCCAAGAGAUGGAUGCCUUUUCCAUAAUGGUACUAUCUGUCCUUCUACCUAUAAACAUAUAAAACUGUUCCGUAUAUUCAUAAUUUUACCUAGGACUUUUAUUAUCAUACGUCAAAAAGUUUGUAAGAUGGCAUCUGGAGGAAAAAGAGUUUGCGGUCAAUACAACAAUUGCUAUUCUUAUGUGUCCAGCCCAUAUAAUUUGGCAUAUAUUCGUGGUCAAAGGUUGUAAGUACGUACCGUAUGUUUACUUUUGCGAUUUAGAUUACUUAUUGUUAGAAUAUGUAUUGAUGCUUGCACAUGGGUCCUUCCCAUGACUAUCUUUCAUGAACAAUAGUUCAUUUAAACUGAAGCAUAUGCAUGCCUUAUGUCAUUUUGCUAUUUUUAGAAUCUCAACCAUUGAAGUUAGAACAGACAUUUAUAUAAUAGAUGACAUAGCAGAAUAUCAACAAAGCAUAAUUACAAAAUGCUUAGCCUUAGUUCAUGCGUACACAUUCAAGAGAACACAUUUAUCUAUUUUCCUGUAGCGAAUCGAUCCUAAAAACACAUUUUACUUGAGCGUUAUCUUUUUGGUGUUUCUUCCAACAAAUACUGCUAGGGUGAUACCUUGUUGAUCUCUUGAGUGCACAUAUAUACGCUCCAUGCAAGUGUGCAAAUUGUGGUAUAAAUAACCCAAAUCAUAUUGGAUCAUUGGUUCAGAAUAAUUGGAAGUACAAGUACAGAUUAAUCCAAAAAAACACAAAGUUUUUGCUUAUAAAAAACAAAGAUAAGUAGACUGGACAAAUCAUGUAAUGCUAAAAUGACUUAUGUGUUGAUUGUACUUGCUGACUGGAGACCAAGUUAUUUAUUGUGUGCCAAAAUUUGACAUAUGUGUAUGAUUUAAUCUUGUAGGUUGCCAUAUGGAUGCUCUUUGGACUACGAUAUUGACAUGAAGACAUUUAUCGUGAUGCCAAAUAUUAUGUAGUAAUGCCAAAUAUUAUGACAUGGAUGUGCUAUGGAUUAUGCUAUAUAUAUAGAUGGAUGGGAUAUGGAUUAUGUUAUAUGUUGUAUGAAUGUGCUAUGGAUUUGUAACGAUUAAGACGCGGUCCUUUCCGAUUUAGGGAACGAGGUCCCCAAAAUGGAAAGGAACGCAUCUAAGCGUUUCACAAACACGAUAACAUAGCAUAUACAUAAUAAUAAAAUGACAAAUAGGGAAUCGUUUGGCAUCUCAUAGAUAAAAUCAUAGUUUACAUCACACAUUUAUUAAGACAAGGUAGUUUCCCUAUGGACUACAUAAUAUGAGAAAAGGUUAUGCUA
Molecule: long non-coding RNA, 4412 nt
Filed under: Hordeum vulgare
Lineage: Eukaryota; Viridiplantae; Streptophyta; Magnoliopsida; Poales; Poaceae
Description: long non-coding RNA (HVUL_LNC011885)
Source: RNAcentral